GGCAUGCCUUACACAUGCAAGUCGAACGGCAUGCAGCGGAGCUUACGCGUCUGGUGGCGAGUGGCGAACGGGUGAGUAAUGUAUCGGAACGUGCCCAGUAGCGGGGGAUAACUACGCGAAAGCGUAGACUAAUACCGCAUACGCCCUACGGGGGAAAGCGGGGGAUCGUAGGACCUCGCGCUAUCGGAGCGGCCGAUGUCGGAUUAGCUAGUUGGUGGGGUAACGGCUCACCAAGGCGACGAUCCGUAGCUGGUUUGAGAGGACGACCAGCCACACUGGGACUGAGACACGGCCCCAGACUCCUACGGGAGGCAGCAGUGGGGAAUAUUGGACAUAUGGGGGAAUUUUCCUGAUCCAGCCAUCCCGCGUGUGUGAUGAAGGCCUUGCGGGUGGUACAAGCACUUUAGGCAAGGAAAGCAUACGUAGUGGGAUUACAUACCUCACGGUAACUGACGGUACCUGCAGAAUACGCACCGGCUAUCUGAUGCCAGCAGCCUCGGUAGUACGUAGGGUGCCAUCGGUUAAUAUGUACUGACGUGGGACAAUAAAUGCGCUGCCGCUAUUGCUGGGUGCAGAGCACCAGCACUUGGAUUGUUCCACCGCACGCAAGCUUAGUUCUCUUUGGCGGGACGCGCAGACUUGCUUUCACAGCGGGCUGGGCCAAACCAAUAGUUGUUAUAGCGGGGGGAAGAUGUACCUCCUUUCCUUCCACCAGAUAAUUCUUUUUUAUCAUUUCUCGGCGGG
RNAcentral lists this ribosomal RNA (744 nucleotides) under beta proteobacterium Nit2. RNAcentral's name for it is "bacterial SSU rRNA". The stretch from base 1 to 522 matches the Rfam family "Bacterial small subunit ribosomal RNA", at positions 41 to 542 of the family's 1533-position model. Lineage: Bacteria; Pseudomonadati; Pseudomonadota; Betaproteobacteria. The record is from RNAcentral.